GACGAACGCUGGCGGCGUGCCUAAUACAUGCAAGUAGAACGCUGAAGGAGGAGCUUGCUUCUCUGGAUGAGUUGCGAACGGGUGAGUAACGCGUAGGUAACCUGCCUGGUAGCGGGGGAUAACUAUUGGAAACGAUAGCUAAUACCGCAUAAUAGCAGUUGUUGCAUGAUAACUGUUUGAAAGGUGCAAUUGCACCACUACCAGAUGGACCUGCGUUGUAUUAGCUAGUUGGUGGGGUAACGGCUCACCAAGGCGACGAUACAUAGCCGACCUGAGAGGGUGAUCGGCCACACUGGGACUGAGACACGGCCCAGACUCCUACGGGAGGCAGCAGUAGGGAAUCUUCGGCAAUGGACGGAAGUCUGACCGAGCAACGCCGCGUGAGUGAAGAAGGGUUUCGGAUCGUAAAGCUCUGUUGUAAGAGAAGAACGAGUGUGAGAGUGGAAAGUUCACACUGUGACGGUAUCUUACCAGAAAGGGACGGCUAACUACGUG
Molecule: ribosomal RNA, 495 nt
Filed under: uncultured bacterium
Lineage: Bacteria
Description: partial 16S ribosomal RNA
Rfam family: Bacterial small subunit ribosomal RNA
Source: RNAcentral